CCUACGGGAGGCAGCAGUGAGGAAUAUUGGUCAAUGGGCGCGAGCCUGAACCAGCCAAGUAGCGUGAAGGAUGACUGCCCUACGGGUUGUAAACUUCUUUUAUAAAGGAAUAAACUGAGGCACGUGUGCCUUUUUGUAUGUAAUUUAUGAAUAAGGAUCGGCUAACUCCGUGCCAGCAGCCGCGGUAAUACGGAGGAUUCGAGCGUUAUCCGGAUUUAUUGGGUUUAAAGGGAGCGUAGGUGGGUUGUUAAGUUAGUUGUGAAAGUUUGCGGCUCAACCGUAGAAUUGCAAGUGAUACUGGUCGUCUUGAGUGCAGUUGAGGUAGGCGGAAUGCGUGGUGUAGCGGUGAAAUGCUUAGAGAUCACGCAGAACUCCGAUUGCGAAGGCAGCUUACUAAGCUGCCACUGACAUUGAGGCACGAAAGUGUGGGUAUCAAACAGGAUUAGAUACCCGGGUAGUC
RNAcentral lists this ribosomal RNA (460 nucleotides) under uncultured bacterium. Its description in RNAcentral is "partial 16S ribosomal RNA". It matches the Rfam family "Bacterial small subunit ribosomal RNA", at positions 338 to 795 of the family's 1533-position model. The record is from RNAcentral.